Molecule: ribosomal RNA, 432 nt
Filed under: uncultured bacterium
Lineage: Bacteria
Description: partial 16S ribosomal RNA
Rfam family: Bacterial small subunit ribosomal RNA
Source: RNAcentral
AACGAACGCUGGCGGCAUGCCUAACACAUGCAAGUCGAACGAGACCUUCGGGUCUAGUGGCGCACGGGUGCGUAACGCGUGGGAACCUGCCCUUAGGUUCGGAAUAACUCCCCGAAAGGGGUGCUAAUACCGGAUAAUGUCUUCGGACCAAAGAUUUAUCGCCUUUGGAUGGGCCCGCGUUGGAUUAGCUAGUUGGUAGGGUAAAAGCCUACCAAGGCGACGAUCCAUAGCUGGUCUGAGAGGAUGAUCAGCCACACUGGGUCUGAGACACGGCCCAGACUCCUACGGGAGGCAGCAGUGGGGAAUAUUGGACAAUGGGCGAAAGCCUGAUCCAGCAAUGCCGCGUGAGUGAUGAAGGCCUUAGGGUUGUAAAGCUCUUUUACCCGGGAUGAUAAUGACAGUACCGGGAGAAUAAGCUCCGGCUAACUCCGU